This 468-nucleotide ribosomal RNA is filed under the name uncultured bacterium. RNAcentral describes it as "partial 16S ribosomal RNA". It matches the Rfam family "Bacterial small subunit ribosomal RNA", at positions 28 to 507 of the family's 1533-position model. The record is from RNAcentral.
GACGAACGCUGGCGGCGCGCCUAACACAUGCAAGUCGAACGGAGCUGAGAGAAGCUUGCCUUUCUUAGCUUAGUGGCGAACGGGUGAGUAACGCGUGAGUAACCUGCCCUGGAGUGGGGGACAACAGUUGGAAACGACUGCUCAUACCGCAUAAGCGCACGAUCCGGCAUCGGAUUGAGGGAAAAGGAUUUAUUCGCUUCAGGAUGGAGUUGCGUCCAAUUAGCUAGUUGGGGAGGUAACGGCCCACCAAGGGGACGAUUGGUAGCCGGACUGAGAGGCUGGGCGGCCACAUUGGGACUGGGACGCGGCCCAGACUCCUACGGGAGGCAGCAGUGGGGGAUAUUGCACAGUGGCGGAAACCCUGAUGCAGCGACGCCGCGUGGAGGAAGAAGGUUUUCGGAAUGUAAACUCCGGUCGUAAGGGACGAUAAUGACGGUACCUAAAGAGAAAGCACCGGCUAACUACGUG